This 468-nucleotide ribosomal RNA is filed under the name uncultured bacterium. Its description in RNAcentral is "partial 16S ribosomal RNA". It matches the Rfam family "Bacterial small subunit ribosomal RNA", at positions 28 to 507 of the family's 1533-position model. The record is from RNAcentral.
GACGAACGCUGGCGGCGUGCUUAACACAUGCAAGUCGAACGGAAAGGCCCUGCUUUUGUGGGGUGCUCGAGUGGCGAACGGGUGAGUAACACGUGAGUAACCUGCCCUUGACUUUGGGAUAACUUCAGGAAACUGGGGCUAAUACCGGAUAGGAGCUCCUGCUGCAUGGUGGGGGUUGGAAAGUUUCGGCGGUUGGGGAUGGACUCGCGGCUUAUCAGCUUGUUGGUGGGGAAGUGGCUUACCAAGGCUUUGACGGGUAGCCGGCCUGAGAGGGUGACCGGCCACAUUGGGACUGAGAUACGGCCCAGACUCCUACGGGAGGCAGCAGUGGGGAAUAUUGCACAAUGGGCGGAAGCCUGAUGCAGCAACGCCGCGUGCGGGAUGACGGCCUUCGGGUUGUAAACCGCUUUCGCCUGCGACGAAGCGUGAGUGACGGUAAUGGGUAAAGAAGCACCGGCUAACUACGUG